UAGAACGAAGUGUAGCCGCGGGUAAGAAGCUGGCACAGAUUGAAGAGGAGGAGAGUGCUCGCAUGGAUGCCUUCCGCGUUGCGGUGAGCGCCUUGACUUCCCUCUUCUCUCGUCUUUGCGCUGCCAAAAAAAAAAAGUGUCGAGAUUGGAGAGAUGCGUUUAGGAUUAAUACAUGUCGUUUGUGAUGGUUGCAUGGAAGCUGGGCUUGCCGACUGCUGAAGCCCAGCGUCAAGCCGAAUGGAGGGCCGAAGCUACCCGCGCCUUGUCGUCACAACAAGAGCCUUCUCCUCCUACGCCCUCCAAGCCUCCCAAAAAAGCCAUUAUCGGGCCUCAACUUCCUCGUUGAUUUGAAAAGGUUCGUUGCUCAUUCUCACUCUUUUUUUUCAUGGCUCAUCUGAGUUUUCAUCGCAGGUCGUCUCGUCCAACUGGAGGUAGAAUUUGUUAUCAGAGAGCAACAGCGAAACAGAGUGGUUGUCUUACCAUCUUAAAGUUCCCCGGCACCGAGAAGCAGCGUUCCUCUAGAGCAAAGGAUGUAACUGCUUGCUUGCUCCACAGGCUGAGAUAAAAUAACCACGAUCUGUGCGGAAAAUUCUUUCACCAGAUAAAUCUUCAAUCAUUCAUCCAUUCGCAUUUAAUCGCUUUUGUUCAAUUGCUUUUGUUCGCACCAACAGAGAACUGCCACAAGGACCAUACCAAGAAGGAAACUACAAGAUUGCACCAACCUCGAGGCUAUAGAGUCGUAGCCAUGUCUUGGAACGCAGUAUCACUCAAGAGGGCCCAUGUAAAAUUUGUCACUCGGUCUUAAAGGAGCACCAGGUUUUAGAGUUGCAGCAAAAGACUUUUCCCUGGCUUUUAAAAGCUGUAGUCUCGAAGUUGCGAGCUGCAAAAACGCGAUCAAAAGAAUCUAAAUACAUCCAUACCUGGCAGAGUGCGUUUUGAUUGUCUUAAUAGCCAUCGUCCACACUGCAAGGAAACGCUUCUCUCUGCUGCUUCCUUUGCCUCAUUCCCUCCUCCUCCUCAAGGAGCUCAGCGUCUCAGAGUUCAGAGGUAUGGCUCUACAGACGACAGCAGCACUCCAGAAGUCCGAAAUUAACGUCGAAGAGCUUUGCCUGGUUGCUCCUGCUCAAGCCACUGACGAUCAGCCGCUCUACCUCUCCAAUUACGAUCAGCAAGUCCUGUUUAACCUCGAGUCUGUGUACUUCUAUCCCCCGUCACCGCACAGGAGCGAUGAGAAUGUUGUCGACGUGCUACGAGCCGCACUGAGCAAACUUCU
This 1273-nucleotide long non-coding RNA is filed under the name Selaginella moellendorffii. RNAcentral describes it as "long non-coding RNA (SMOE_LNC001519)". The record is from RNAcentral. Lineage: Eukaryota; Viridiplantae; Streptophyta; Lycopodiopsida; Selaginellales; Selaginellaceae.